Molecule: long non-coding RNA, 749 nt
Organism: Bos taurus (domestic cattle)
Lineage: Eukaryota; Metazoa; Chordata; Mammalia; Artiodactyla; Bovidae
Source: Ensembl
AGAAAACACUCGUGUGAGACUCAGGCAAGCUCCCUCGGGCUGCUCAGAUAACAGAGCUGUUUUUCCAAGUUUGGCCCUGGCUGCCACGUGGCUCGAAAACUGUCUGGAGAGACUGAAGCAAGAGGAGGGUGGCUCCAGCCUGGAAGUCAUCAGGCUCCACUGAGUCCCAGCCUCACCCUCCAAAGCCCUCUGCUCUGCAGAUAGAGAACAGAAGUCUAAUAGGAGAGCUGAGGUCACACCAUUUGGUCUAGCCUGGACAUUUUUGCCUCACACCAUAUUUGGGGGGAAAAAAUUGGAACUAGCUGACUUUUUCAAGUGGGAUGAUUCUAUUUUAAAGCUUCAUAUUUCUGGCUUUUUAGAAAAGGUGGAUGAUCCUGAAACACAAGGGCCUACAUUCCUGCAUGGUGAUAACUGGCUGGAGCAGGGCCUUAAUUCACCCUGGGAUUAAGCCAGAAACUUCUUUCUACAGCCACUGAGCCUCUGGAGUCUGCCCCAUGACCAGGAGCUGCCUACUAGAAGCAGCUAGUCCUCAGUGACCUGCUGGAAGGUACCUGGCCAUCGAAUUGGAGAACACAAGUACCCUUUCGGGCUUACCUAAGGGCUGGAGCAGAUUGUUUAGACACCGUUUCACAAGAACUGGAGUUGGUGCACUGGGACGACCCAGAGGGAUGGUACAGGGAGGGAGGAGGGAGGAGGGUGCAGGAUGGGAAACACGUGUAUACCUGUGGCGGAUUCAUGUUGAUAUAUGG